GAUGAAGAAGGCAGCGAAAUGCGAUAAGUUAUGUGAAUUGCAGAAUUCAGUGAAUCAUCGAAUCUUUGAACGCACAUUGCGCCCGCCAGCAUUCUGGCGGGCAUGCCUGUUCGAGCGUCAUUUCAACCCUCGCAGCCCAUCUGGGCAGCGGUGUUGGGGACCGGCACCACCGGCGAAGCCCUUAGGGGCCCAGCCGGCGCCGCCCCCGAAAUACAGUGGCGGUCUCGCUGCAGCCUCCCUUGCGUAGUAGCACACCUCGCACCGGAGCGCAGCGCGGCCACGCCGUAAAACCCCCGACUUUCUGAGUUUGACCUCGAAUCAGGUAGGAAUACCCGCUGAACUUAAGCAUAUCAAUAAGCGGAGGA
This 365-nucleotide unclassified non-coding RNA is filed under the name soil metagenome. Its description in RNAcentral is "partial contains 5.8S ribosomal RNA, internal transcribed spacer 2, and large subunit ribosomal RNA". The stretch from base 1 to 120 matches the Rfam family "5.8S ribosomal RNA", at positions 35 to 154 of the family's 154-position model. The record is from RNAcentral.